CCUACGGGUGGCUGCAGUGGGGAAUUUUGGACAAUGGGCGAAAGCCUGAUCCCGCAAUGCCGCGUGAGUGAAGAAGGCCUUCGGGUUGUAAAGCUCUUUUGUUUGGGAAGAAAUCCCUAAGGAUAAUACCCUUGGGGGAUGACGGUACCAAAAGAAUAAGCACCGGCUAACUACGUGCCAGCAGCCGCGGUAAUACGUAGCGUGCAAGCGUUAAUCGGAAUUUGCGGAGGUAAAUUGUGCGCAGGGGGGUGAAAUCCCCGGGCUCAACUUGGGAACUGCACUUGUGACUGCAAGACUAGAGUGUGUCAGAGGGAGGUAGAAUUCCACGUGUAGCAGUGAAAUGCGUAGAUAUGUGGAGGAAUACCAGUGGCGAAGGCGGCCUCCUGGGAUAACACUGACGCUCAUGUACGAAAGCGUGGGGAGCAAACAGGAUUAGAUACCCCAGUAGUC
RNAcentral lists this ribosomal RNA (450 nucleotides) under uncultured bacterium. RNAcentral's name for it is "partial 16S ribosomal RNA". It matches the Rfam family "Bacterial small subunit ribosomal RNA", at positions 338 to 795 of the family's 1533-position model. The record is from RNAcentral.